GGCCUAUUCGUGGGGGCGGAGCCUGUCGCAACCCUCGUCCUUUCCGCAUGUUCCGAGAUCAUGGCACCGCCCAGUGGGCGGGCCCUCAAGCUGAAAGCGAGGGGGUCUGCUGCCGAAAAGAGGCCAGAGCCUGUGGGCACCGGAGAGGUAUACUGGAAUCUGAUGCUAGUUAUACAUCUCUAAACUGUGAAGAGGAUGGUUUUCCAUCUGUACCAGUUCUGGGCCUGCUUCUUGAAUCCACACCUCUGCUCCACAUCACUGGCAAGCCAAUACCUGCAAGUUAUAUUCUCUGACUUUCCCGUUCCAAGGACUUACUUCACCAAUCUUAUCCAAGGGAGGACCCAAAACCUUCCUGUGGGAAAGAGCCUCUUCUCACAUCUCUAUUGAGAUCUGAGGGCCACUUGCUAAAAUAGGCAGGACCCUGUGCCUCUCAGCAAUACAGUCCCAGUGGAUGGGGGAGCGAGGUGGAAGGGAGCCACCAUCACCUGCCAACGGAAAGGGAAGAGAGGGGAGGAGCUGGAACAAUCUGCGUGGGUUUGGGACAGUGAUUUUUGAGUGAUCAGAUGGUCUCCAGCUCCCUGUUAAGUGUCUGCACCAACUUGUAUUGAUUCCCAAACAUACCUCACUUCCGUUCAAGGAGAAGUCCUUUCCCACCACAGCCGGGCUGUUCUGCUGACCCUCAACCCUCUCCACACUCCUGCUGAGCUGACUCAUCCUUCAGGGCCUGAUUGCCACCGCUGCUCCCGCCAGGCACAGCUGUUGUUGGCCACACCUGCAGCCAUGCCGCCGGGGUCCUGGGCAAUGCCACUGCCCCUGCUUGAUUGCAGGCCACAGCAUGCACAGGAGGCUAUCGCUUCUUAGGGGAAUACCUGAACACCGCAAGCAUGCUUUGUCAACGUCUUCCCCUAUUUUGAUCUGGUGCCUGGACCUUCCUUCCAUGCCUCCCCCUCCCACACCCAGGCCUGGCAGCACUCUGAUCCAGGAGCCUCCCUCUGUGUGACAGGGAUAACCUGGAUGCUCACAGACCUUGUCAGCCUGCGGGAACGAAAGAGACCACGAUAUCAUUUGGACACAUAUGUUCCUAAUUCAAUACUACAUCAUCCUAACCGAGGUAAACUUCAAGGCUCAGGAUCGUCACAAGCUCGCUGUGCCCUUGGCAUCUGGGGGAGUCCCAGCGUUGCCCCAUGCAUGCUUCUGCAGCGGUCAGAUCUGUUGCUUUUGCUGCCUCCUCUGCUCUGCCCUGGACAUCAGUGAGGCAGAUGUUCCUGUGGCAGGGCUUGCCCCUGAACGUCUCUCAAUAGUCUGUCGGACUGCUGGUCAGUGCGUGUGCCCCGCAUACUACCUCUUGCCUCCAUGGGUUCCUUUCCCUCUUUCUUCUCCCCCAACCCCGAGUUGUAACAGAGAACACACAGCUGCCCUGCCGGAUUCUACAUCCCCCAGACUUCCCACAGAUAAGUAUGGCUAUAUAGCUGCGGUUUGUUGUCAAUAGGAGGUGAGCAGAAGCGAUGUGGCAGCUUCCUUGGCUUACCCCUGGGGCUGUGGACUCAGAAAUGGGAGCCUCAUUUUGAGAAUAGUAGCAUCAAGCCACCAACCUGGGUCCCAGAUGACUCUUUGGGACAGAACUGGCCCUGCCAGCUGUGAACUACUCAUAUCUAGACUUUUCAUGUGAGAAAAAUAAACUUGCAUCCCAUUUAAGUUAGCCUGUAUCCUAAGUAAUAGAGUAUUGACUCAAGAACAGUCAAUCUGUAGGCGUCCAAUCUAAUUUAGAUCCUCUUACACCCCUUUAUGGCACCCUGUACUUCUCCUUCAAAGCACGUAUCACAACUUGCAAUUAAAUAAUUAUUUGGGUAAUGUAGUGUUCGCUAUCGAUUGCCUUCCCAACAGCUAUCUCCCCUCCCUCCUUUUUAUCUCAUGGAAUCCCAAUGUCAUUCAGGUAUUCAUGGCUUCCUCCUUCAGACUCAUGCUGCAUGAAAAGAUGAGAGUAAGCCCAUCAGAUUGUCUCUCUGAGAUUUUGAAGUAAGAAACAAAUAAUAAUAAUGAGAGGGAGCGGCAGGGAGUAACGAAGCAGGCGGAUUGUGCCCUUGAUGACCUGUGCAUCGUGCCAGCUGAGGAUCUGCAGCCACCUGGAUCCAGGAUCACGUCCCCAUUCCAGUCUCUGUUCUUGAUCUUCCCUAGACAGCCUCUAAAAUGAUCCCUAAAAUACACCAUCUUUCCCUGGGCUAACAAGAGUGCCCACUUGUUUCUCAUAACUGAGCAGGCCUGGAUAAAGCGGUAACUUUGGGCAAAUUUAUUUAACAAAGGUCUUUGAACACCCACCAUGUCCUAGGCACUGCUGUACUCACUAGGGGUACUAGGGAGAACAGAUGGGUCACCUAGAGCAUCUCUCUGAGAAGCAAAGUCAACUACACUCCUCUACCUGCUUAGAAUUCUUCAAUGGCUUCUAGUUGACCUCACAACAAAGCCCUAAAUCCUUACGGUUUACAGCCAACCUUGCGUGAUACAGCCUCUGUCUGUCGUUUGAACCUCUAUCCUGUUACUUUACCCCUCUUUCCACUUACACCAGAUCAGAUCACUUUCAGGCCCCCCGGUGUGCAAGCUUCUCUCAUGCUUGAAGCUGUUGUACUUACUCUUCCAUUUACUCGAGUGUGGUAAGCAAAGGUACGAGGCCAGGAUCAGGAUGGUGGUGAGGAUAACAAUAAUACUACCACCUGAGCACUUACUUGUACUUUGCAUGUAUUCUUCUUAGUCUUCAUAACAAUGUCACAAAGUAGGUUCUGUGUUCCCCAUCUUACAGACGAGGAAGCUGAGGCUUCAGGAGUUCAGUAACCGGCUUCAGACCACACGCUUAAGUGGUGGCAAAGCCAACAUUGGAAGCCAAGCCUAUUUGACUCCAAAGGACAGGCUGUCUGGGCCAGCUGUCAUCUCUCUACCACUCUUUUCGAGUUGAGCUGCUGGAGGCGGACAGGCUUGGGUUGGAAUUCAGGACUCUACCACUUUCUGAGUGGGUAGCCUUGAGCAAGUUACCCAAUCUCCCUGAGCCUCAGUUUCCUCAUUUUACAAAUGAGGCCAGCAAGAGAACCUACCUGAGAAGGUCACGGUGGCGUUAAAAUGAAAGCAUGCACGUUAAGGCAUGCCCUAGACCAGUACACUUGGUAGAUACCAUUUCCUUAUCACCGUUAUUACCUUCUCCACUUAGGCGAGUAGCUCUCUCCUUCUCCCUGUCCAGGUUAGAGCCCUGCAUCUUGUCACAGACACGGCCUAAGAGCUGCUUCUCUGCCAGGCCUCCUGGGGCCAGGCCUGCACAACUCUGUGGAAGGAAGCUUGGGCCCGCGCAGGAAUGGCCUGUAAUUGAUCCCAGUUAGAGGUGGACAGGCCCUGUCCUCCUCGGCUGGGGCCUCAGGAAGCAGGGCGCUGCCUGAUUUAUGUCCCUGCUGCACCGAGGAUGACCUGGUGACCUCUCUACGUGUCCUAGCAUCAGACAAGGCCAUAAAACAGAAUUGGUGUUGCACAUUUGUUCCUAUCAGGGCCGACUUGUACACUGGUGCACCCAGCUUAGGUCAGUCCCCUGCAGGGCCCUCCCCAGGAAAGGCUGGUGUGUGUGGCCGCUCUGUGCGGCCGGGCCACCGGAAGUUCAGGGACGGUGUACAGAAGGGAAAUCACAAUCUCACAUGUUUUCAUGGCUUCCGUGACCAUCCUCAGUGAAAGACACCCAAUCCACAUCCUGAACCUCCAGCUCCCCACACCCACCCUGGCCUCAGACCCAGUCUCAGUGACCUGCUGGACACCUCCUCCUGCAGAUACCAAAGGCCUCGUCUGAACUCAUGGUGUUCGCCUCUCUGCUGGUUCUUCCUCCCUCAUCUGUCGGCCCCAGAAGCCGACACCUGGGCCAAAGAAGUCGCUUCCUCCCUGGCCUGGUGCAGCUUCUUUGCACAGACUCCUUGAUAGCUCUGACCACACCAUUUUGUGGUUAGAACAACUUAUUGCAGCCUUCGCCAUUAUCUGUAUCUCUGUCUCCUCCAAUAGACUGUAAAGUCCUACAGGCAAGAGACCACAUUUGAUUCAUCUCUGCACCCCCAGGGCCUAGUGUAGAGCCUGGCACAGAGGACCUGCCAUGAACCUUUGAUGAAUGAAUGAGUGAAUGGAUGGAUAAAUAGAUGGAUGGAUGGCUGAAUAAUGAGCAUAGAUGCGUAUCUUUUGAGGUAGUUUUCAAAUAAAGAACAGGGCUUUUGAGGAGGGACUCCCAAGUUCCCCUGGGAAUAGUGUGAUUAGAUAUCAGCAUCCUACAGCCAGAUUAACCUUAAAAUUGCAUACUCUGAGCUAUACUAGGACCUCUUCCAUAUUCAGAUGACAGAGACCCAGAGAGGUUAAAUAACUUCCUGAAGGUGAACAGUGAUUUAGUGGCAGAGCCCCCGGAUGAGCCCCCAAACUUCCUGUCUCCACUGUCUGCAGCCUCUUCCUCUCUUUCUACGUGCUGACCUUUAGUGAGCUCUUCAUGAACUCCAGAGCUUGGCUUCCAGAAAUAGAAAGCAGUGAGUCUUCUGGACUAUCUACAGGGUUUUAUUACCAACAAGGUGAUCCAUGGCAGAGAAAUUGAGAUGAGCUUCUCAGAAUUUGCAGUUCUAAGAGUAGCAUAGGACUAUAUGACUACAUGGCCCUUAUCUUCUCUGAGCCUCAGUUUCCUCACCUGCAAAAUGGGAAUAAGAAUAGGAUCUGUCCCAGCAUAAUGCAUGUUUUUCACUUUAGGCUCUUGUAAUAGGUUGUAUUAUUAUUCCCAACUAUUUGUUGAACUCUCAGUAAAAGGGUUAUCAUCCAUCUCUGACCAUAGCAAUGAGACUCACAGUGCUUCUCUGUGGGGAGGGCUAUACCUCACUGUCCCCUUGGUGUCUGCCUAGGCCAUUCGCUUCCUUUGGCCAAUGGAACAUGAAUAGAAGCUACAUGUGCCACAUCCCAGCAGACGCUUUAAGAGUCAUUGUAAGACUCAGCCAUGGCAUUUUCGCUUCUGUCUCUGGAAUGAUAUAGCGGCCACUCCUUCAGUCUGAGACCCAGAAUGUGAACACAUAUAGAACAGGACCUCAAAUGACCUACUGUCAUGUGGUGUAAAUAAGAAAUAAACCUUGUUGUUGUCAGCUGUUGAGACUGUGGGGUGGUUUCUGCUGCAUAGCCUAGCAAAUGCUGACUAGUAAUCUUUUGCUUAUAAUCUAGACAGACUUGUUUGGGACAUCUUAAAACAGAGGGUAGAGUUUGUCGCAAUGAUAUCCGUAAAAAUGCAUCAAAUCCUUGGGGGUCCUAGAACUAAGUAUUGGGCAGUAGUCGGAUAAGCUGCCAUAAUAAGAGGCUUCAAAAUAAAAGUCUUAAACAAGGUACACAUUUAUUUCUUUCCUAAAACAGAAGACGUAAAUGACUGGUCCAGGGUGGUUAGGAAGCUCUGCUGGGUGAGGUCACCCAAACAUCCAGUUUCUCUGCAACCUGCAUCCCCCGCUACCAUCCAAGAUGUUCUCCUCAUCUCUACCAUGUCCACAUUCCAGCCUGCAGGAAGGAGGACAGAGAGAGCGGAAUGACCAGUGCUCCUGGUCGUAAGGAGAUGGCCCAGUUUGGUGAAAGAUGUACUUGCUGAGGUAGCAGAGGGCCUCUGGCUGAGGGACAGCUGUGCCCUAUAUCACAAGAUAAGCUACUGAGGCACAGAAAGAUGAAGAAGUACCGACAGGGUCACCGGUUAGUGGCAGAACCAUUGCAAAUCUAAGCAGCCUGGCUCCGGAGCCUCCGAGUGCAACCCCCGCAUCAUACAGCCUCUCAAGAUGUCAGCAGCCCACCCCAGACCUAAAGAAUCAGAUCCUCUGAGGGAGGGACAUGGGAAUCUGCAUUUGAACAAGUUUCAAAUAGGUGGUUCUGAUGCACAGCCAGAGUCAGACUGCGGAUCUAAAAAGUAGCAGCAAGCCUGGGGCUGCGUGACUAGAACAAAUAAGUCUGCUUCCGGGAUUUUCAAGUUUGUCUGAUCAUGUGAACAUGAGGCCUGCUGAAUAAUGUUGACGGAUUGUGUCCUCUUUGUGAGGGGUGAACCCAAACCCAGGUCAAUCACAAAGAACCUGUGAGCAGAAGGCCAACUCAGGAGACCUGCCCAUGAGACAUUUUCUGAAGGGGCUCCAGCCACUGGCCACCAUCCUUGGAACUCUGUGUACCUGCCUAGUUCCUGGACUUUGAUCUCCCAUCUGACCUCCUUCUCACCCCUGCUCUGAUCUGACAACUCCUGCUGGGUUGACCCCAUCUCUGACCCCAGCCCGCCUGGGUUUUCAGUCUCACUGCUCCAGGCUGAAGUCUCACAGGAUGACAGCCUGAGGCAAGACAGUAUUUGCUUCGGCCACCAAUAAUGGGAGCAGGAUGCCACCUCUUCUAAUGAUGUAAUGACAAAUGGAAUAUUCAUGUUAAAAGAACUGUGACUUUCAGGGUGGAAUUCGGGUAAUCUCAAACCAACUCUGUGACCAUCACUGAACGUGGAAUGUUGAAAUAGAAAUAAACAGGCCUUCAUCCCAA
Leopardus geoffroyi (Geoffroy's cat) is the source of this 6528-nucleotide long non-coding RNA. RefSeq lists it as uncharacterized. The transcript has 5 exons. The record is from RefSeq and is a predicted model, not a curated record. Lineage: Eukaryota; Metazoa; Chordata; Mammalia; Carnivora; Felidae.